Molecule: ribosomal RNA, 778 nt
Filed under: uncultured Chloroflexota bacterium
Lineage: Bacteria; Bacillati; Chloroflexota
Description: bacterial SSU rRNA
Rfam family: Bacterial small subunit ribosomal RNA
Source: RNAcentral
UAUCGAGACAGUGGCAAAUGGGUGAGUAACGCGUAAGUAACCUGCCCCUAAGCAAGGAAUAACUCUGAGAAAUCGGAGCUAAUACCUUAUGUGGUGGUGGAGGUAAGGCUUCAUCACUAAAGUCUUCGGGCACUUAGGGAGGGGCUUGCGUCCGAUUAGCUAGUUGGUACGGUAACGGCUUACCAAGGCAGUGAUCGGUAGCUGGUCUGAGAGGACGACCAGCCACAUUGGGACUGAGACACGGCCCAGACUCCUACGGGAGGCAGCAGCAAGGAAUAUUGUGCAAUGGGCGAAAGCCUGACACAGCGACGCUGCGUGAGGGAAGAAGGCCUUCGGGUUGUAAACCUCUUUUUUCAGGGAAGAAUAAUGACGGUACCUGAAGAAUAAGUCUCGGCUAACUACGUGCCAGCAGCCGCGGUAAUACGUAGGAGGCGAGCGUUAUCCGGAUUUACUGGGCGUAAAGCGGGCGUAGGUGGCUUUUCAAGUCGGAUGUAAAAUCUCCCUGCUUAACGGGGAGGGGUCAUUCGAUACUGUUGAGCUAGAGGGCAGCAGAGGGAGGUGGAAUUCCCGGUGUAGUGGUGAAAUGCGUAGAUAUCGGGAGGAACACCAGUGGCGAAGGCGGCCUCCUGGGCUGUUGCUGACGCUGAGGCCCGAAAGCGUGGGGAGCGAACAGGAUUAGAUACCCUGGUAGUCCACGCUGUCAACGAUGGGCACUAGGUAUAGGGAGUAUCGACCCUCUCUGUGCCGAAGCUAACGCGUUAAGUGCCCCGCCUGGGGA